This 641-nucleotide ribosomal RNA is filed under the name Salmonella enterica subsp. enterica serovar Kentucky. RNAcentral describes it as "partial 23S ribosomal RNA". It matches the Rfam family "Bacterial large subunit ribosomal RNA", at positions 1 to 673 of the family's 2925-position model. Lineage: Bacteria; Pseudomonadati; Pseudomonadota; Gammaproteobacteria; Enterobacterales; Enterobacteriaceae. The record is from RNAcentral.
GGGUUGUGAGGUUAAGCGACUAAGCGUACACGGUGGAUGCCCUGGCAGUCAGAGGCGAUGAAGGACGUGCUAAUCUGCGAUAAGCGCCGGUAAGGUGAUAUGAACCGUUAUAACCGGCGAUUUCCGAAUGGGGAAACCCAGUGUGACUCGUCACACUAUCAUUAACUGAAUCCAUAGGUUAAUGAGGCGAACCGGGGGAACUGAAACAUCUAAGUACCCCGAGGAAAAGAAAUCAACCGAGAUUCCCCCAGUAGCGGCGAGCGAACGGGGAGGAGCCCAGAGCCUGAAUCAGCAUGUGUGUUAGUGGAAGCGUCUGGAAAGGCGCGCGAUACAGGGUGACAGCCCCGUACACAAAAGCGCAUGUGCUGUGAGCUCGAUGAGUAGGGCGGGACACGUGGUAUCCUGUCUGAAUAUGGGGGGACCAUCCUCCAAGGCUAAAUACUCCUGACUGACCGAUAGUGAACCAGUACCGUGAGGGAAAGGCGAAAAGAACCCCGGCGAGGGGAGUGAAAAAGAACCUGAAACCGUGUACGUACAAGCAGUGGGAGCACAGGUUUACCUGUGUGACUGCGUACCUUUUGUAUAAUGGGUCAGCGACUUAUAUUCUGUAGCAAGGUUAACCGAAUAGGGGAGCCGUAGGG